GUAAGGUCUCGUUGGUGACAGCGGAGGGACAUUACCGAGUUUACAACUCCCAAACCCCAAUGUGAACGUUACCAAACUGUUGCCUCGGCGGGAUUUCUGCCCCGGGCGCGUCGCAGCCCCGGACCAAGGCGCCCGCCGGAGGACCAAUUUACAAACUCUUUUGUAUAUCCCAUCGCGGAUUCUUUACAUUCUGAGCUUUCUCGGCGCUCCUAGCGAGCGUUUCGAAAAUGAAUCAAAACUUUCAACAACGGAUCUCUUGGUUCUGGCAUCGAUGAAGAACGCAGCGAAAUGCGAUAAGUAAUGUGAAUUGCAGAAUUCAGUGAAUCAUCGAAUCUUUGAACGCACAUUGCGCCCGCCAGUAUUCUGGCGGGCAUGCCUGUCCGAGCGUCAUUUCAACCCUCGAACCCCUCCGGGGGGUCGGCGUUGGGGAUCGGCACUUACCUGCCGGCCCCGAAAUACAGUGGCGGUCUCGCCGCAGCCUCUCCUGCGCAGUAGUUUGCACACUCGCACCGGGAGCGCGGCGCGUCCACGGCCGUAAAACAACCCAAACUUCUGAAAUGUUGACCUCGGAUCAGGUAGGAAUACCCGCUGAACUUAAGCAUAUCAAUAAGCGGAGGA
This 618-nucleotide ribosomal RNA is filed under the name Trichoderma brevicompactum. RNAcentral's name for it is "eukaryotic LSU rRNA". The stretch from base 237 to 390 matches the Rfam family "5.8S ribosomal RNA". Lineage: Eukaryota; Fungi; Ascomycota; Sordariomycetes; Hypocreales; Hypocreaceae. The record is from RNAcentral.